RNAcentral lists this ribosomal RNA (565 nucleotides) under uncultured bacterium. RNAcentral's name for it is "partial 16S ribosomal RNA". It matches the Rfam family "Bacterial small subunit ribosomal RNA", at positions 355 to 1376 of the family's 1533-position model. The record is from RNAcentral.
UGGGGAAUCUUGGACAAUGGGGGCAACCCUGAUCCAGCCAUGCCGCGUGGGUGAUGAAGGCCUUAGGGUCGUAAAGCCCUUUCGCCGGGGAAGAUAAUGACGGUACCCGGUAAAGAAGCCCCGGCUAACUCCGUGCCAGCAGCCGCGGUAAUACGGAGGGGGCUAGCGUUGUUCGGAAUGACUGGGCGUAAAGCGCGCGUAGGCGGAUCAGAAAGUUGGGGGUGAAAUCCCGGGGCUCAACCUCGGAAUGGCCUUCAAAACUCCUGGUCUUGAGUUCGAGAGAGGUGAGUGGAAUUCCGAGUGUAGAGGUGAAAUUCGUAGAUAUUCGGAGGAACACCAGUGGCGAAGGCGGCUCACUGGCUCGACACUGACGCUGAGGUGCGAAAAGCGUGGGGAGCAAACAGGAUUAGAUACCCCUGGUAGUCCACGCCGUAAAACGAUGAAUGCCAGACGUCGGGGGGCUUGCCCUUCGGUGUCACACCUAACGGAUUAAGCAUUCCGCCUGGGGGAGUACGGUCGCAAGAUUAAAACUCAAAUGAAUUGACGGGGUCAUAGCUGUUUCCUG